GGUUGCCCUACUAUUGUAGUAGUUGUGGGAGUCUCCUAGUGGGUGCGUGAUUCUAGCGGCAGCCAUUCAAUGCUGCUCAUGUUCUGUUCUCAGGAGAAACCUUACCGUUGUAACGGGCUGGCGCCGGCGACUACCGAUCUCCACGCAUGAAUCCUGCAGGAAAGCCUGAAGAAUACCUUUCUCCAAGUGUGCCUGACCCACUCUCACCCCACAUGUCAUCACUACUCACCUGCCCUAAAGCUUUCAGCAUUGGAGCUCUGCCCUGAUAGAUUACUUACCUAAGGAAGCUCAUUUGAACUUUGCUCCCACAUUAAUCAUUCUUGAGAAAAAGAAAAAUAGCUCUGUUUCCUGUUUAGUAACCUACCUAAAGACACUUACCUGAAGACUGCUGCUG
Oreochromis aureus is the source of this 394-nucleotide long non-coding RNA. The record is from Ensembl. Lineage: Eukaryota; Metazoa; Chordata; Actinopteri; Cichliformes; Cichlidae.